ACGCUCGUCCGGGAGACGGGCCGCUCCGAAGGCUGCGAGCCCACCUCGGACAGCUCGGCCAACCAUAGAGAAAGUAAAAUAAGAGAGGUGGCAAUCAUAUGGGCGUUCUUGUCACCGCGUUACGCAGGUUGCGCUGCAACUGACUGACCGGCGACUGACGGCACUCAAAUUUCGAGUUUUUGGCCAAGAAGUUCUGAGCAUGUGCGAAACGUGCAGGACAUAGUGAAAAUAAAAUAAGGAUCGGUUAAAUCAGUUCUGUCUUUUUUCAACUUGCAGAACAACGCAACUGGAUAUUAUUCUUGUAUUGCUAAGUUGACUUUGCUAAAUGAAAUUAUCCUAAGAAUGAAAUUUAACCUUAUUUUAACCACGUUUUCGAUUGAUCGGUCGAUUUAAAAUAAUUUCAUAUUUCUAGUACCUGUACGGUAUUAAUACCUACAAAUAACAUUUGCUGUCGAGACUUCAGCAUGGAACAGAAUCCUGCAGCACAUAAGUAGAAGACUUCUGGUGGGGAUUCCUACUUCUAUAGGGCACAAGUUUAUCUACCCAGUUUAUCCUUUUGGGAUUCUUUGGAAGACAAUUUGUGUUUUUUUACUUAAUAAAUGUUAUUUCAUUUUGA
Molecule: long non-coding RNA, 616 nt
Organism: Dendroctonus ponderosae (mountain pine beetle)
Lineage: Eukaryota; Metazoa; Arthropoda; Insecta; Coleoptera; Curculionidae
Exons: 2
Source: RefSeq, a predicted model, not a curated record